GUGCUCGCUUCAAGAGCACAUAUACUAAAAUUGGAACUAUACAGAGAUUAGCAUGGCCCCUGUGCAAGGAUGAUAAAUACAAAUUUAUCAUAUAACUAAUGAUU
This is a small nuclear RNA of Mesocricetus auratus (golden hamster), 104 nucleotides long. Lineage: Eukaryota; Metazoa; Chordata; Mammalia; Rodentia; Cricetidae. The record is from Ensembl.